RNAcentral lists this ribosomal RNA (248 nucleotides) under uncultured bacterium. RNAcentral's name for it is "partial 16S ribosomal RNA". It matches the Rfam family "Bacterial small subunit ribosomal RNA", at positions 523 to 769 of the family's 1533-position model. The record is from RNAcentral.
AUACGUAGGUGGCAAGCGUUGUCCGGAUUUAUUGGGCGUAAAGCGAGCGCAGGUCGGUUUUUUAAGUCUGACGUGAAAGCCUUCGGCUCAACCGAAGAAGUGCAUCGGAAACUGGGAAACUUGAGUGCAGAAGAGGACAGUGGAACUCCAUGUGUAGCGGUGAAAUGCGUAGAUAUAUGGAAGAACACCAGUGGCGAAGGCGGCUGCCUGGUCUGUAACUGACGCUGAGGCUCGAAAGUAUGGGUAGC